AACGAACGCUGGCGGCAUGCCUAACACAUGCAAGUCGAACGGGAUCCUAGCUUGCUAGGUGAGAGUGGCGGACGGGUGAGUAACACGUGGGAAUCUGCCUUUUGGUUCGGGAUAACCGCGGGAAACUGCGGCUAAUACCGAAUGCCCUCGAGAGAGGAAAGAUUUAUCGCCAGAAGAGGAGCCCGCGUCCGAUUAGGUAGUUGGUGGGGUAAAGGCCUACCAAGCCGACGAUCGGUAGCUGGUCUGAGAGGAUGAUCAGCCACACUGGGACUGAGAUACGGCCCAGACUCCUACGGGAGGCAGCAGUGGGGAAUAUUGGACAAUGGGGGCAACCCUGAUCCAGCAAUGCCGCGUGAGUGAUGAAGGCCUUAGGGUUGUAAAGCUCUUUGCCAGGGAAGAUGAUGACUGUACCUGGAGAAUAAGCCCCGGCUAACUCGUGCCAGCAGCCGCGGUAAU
Molecule: ribosomal RNA, 456 nt
Filed under: uncultured bacterium
Lineage: Bacteria
Description: bacterial SSU rRNA
Rfam family: Bacterial small subunit ribosomal RNA
Source: RNAcentral